RNAcentral lists this ribosomal RNA (67 nucleotides) under Bacteroidales bacterium. RNAcentral's name for it is "partial 16S ribosomal RNA". It matches the Rfam family "Bacterial small subunit ribosomal RNA", at positions 1 to 67 of the family's 1533-position model. The record is from RNAcentral. Lineage: Bacteria; Pseudomonadati; Bacteroidota; Bacteroidia; Bacteroidales.
ACAAUGAAGAGUUUGAUCCUGGCUCAGGAUGAACGCUAGCGGCAGGCUUAACACAUGCAAGUCGAGG